GACAGAGGGUGCAAACGUUGUUCGGAAUUACUGGGCGUAAAGCGCGUGUAGGCGGCUAAGUAAGUCGGGCGUGAAAUCCCACGGCUCAACCGUGGAAGUGCACUCGAAACUGCAUAGCUAGAGUCCUGGAGAGGAAGGUGGAAUGCUUGGUGUAGAGGUGAAAUUCGUAGAUAUCAAGCGGAACACCGGUGGCGAAGGCGGCCUUCUGGACAGUGACUGACGCUGAGACGGCGAAAAGCGUGGGGGAGCAAACA
Molecule: ribosomal RNA, 254 nt
Filed under: uncultured bacterium
Lineage: Bacteria
Description: partial 16S ribosomal RNA
Rfam family: Bacterial small subunit ribosomal RNA
Source: RNAcentral